Molecule: ribosomal RNA, 543 nt
Filed under: uncultured bacterium
Lineage: Bacteria
Description: bacterial SSU rRNA
Rfam family: Bacterial small subunit ribosomal RNA
Source: RNAcentral
AAUAGAUACCCUGGUAGUCCACGCCGUAAACGUUGGAUACUAGGUGUGGCGGUUAUACCAAUGACUGCCGUGCCGAAGCUAACGCAUUAAGUAUCCCGCCUGGGGAGUACGGCCGCAAGGCUAAAACUCAAAGAAAUUGACGGGUCCCCGCACAAGCGGCGGAGCAUGCGGCUUAAUUCGAUGCAACCCGAAGAACCUUACCUGGGUUUGACAUCACGGGAAAAGCUGUAGAAAUACAGUGUCCAUUAGGGCCCGUGACAGGUGGUGCAUGGCUGUCGUCAGCUCGUGUCGUGAGAUGUUGGGUUAAGUCCCGCAACGAGCGCAACCCUUGUCCUAUGUUGCCAGCGGUUCGGCCGGGGACUCAUAGGAGACUGCCGGGGAUAACUCGGAGGAAGGUGAGGACGACGUCAAGUCAUCAUGCCCCUUAUAUCCAGGGCUGCACGCAUGCUACAAUGGCCGGUACAACGGGCAGCGACCCCGCGAGGGUGAGCGAAUCCUAAAAAGCCGGUCCUAGUUCGGAUUGAAGUCUGCAACUCGACUUCA